AGAGUUUGAUCCUGGCUCAGAACGAACGCUGGCGGCGUGCUUAACACAUGCAAGUCGAACAGAAAGUCCUUCGGGAUGAGUAGAGUGGCGCACGGGUGAGUAAUGCAUAGGAACGUACCAUAAGUGGGGAAUAACUAUGGGAAACUGUAGCUAAUACCGCAUGUGAUGUUAAUUAAAGUGGCCUCUACUUGUAAGCUACCGCUUAUCGAUCGGCCUAUGUCCCAUUAGCUAGUUGGCGGGUAACGGCCCACCAAGGCGACGAUGGGUAGCUGGUCUGAGAGGAUGAUCAGCCACACGAGACUGAGACACGGUCCAGACUCCUACGGGAGGCAGCAGUGGGGAAUUUUGCGCAAUGGCGAAAGCCUGACGCAGCAAUGCCGCGUGAGUGAUGAAGGCCUUCGGGUCGUAAAGCUCGUCAGAGGGGAAGAAACUCCCGUCGGUUAAUACCCGGCAGGCCUGACGGUACCCUCAAAGAAGCACCGGCUAACUCCGUGCCAGCAGCCGCGGUAAU
RNAcentral lists this ribosomal RNA (511 nucleotides) under uncultured delta proteobacterium. RNAcentral describes it as "bacterial SSU rRNA". It matches the Rfam family "Bacterial small subunit ribosomal RNA", at positions 8 to 524 of the family's 1533-position model. Lineage: Bacteria; Deltaproteobacteria. The record is from RNAcentral.